UCUGUGUCUGUCAAACAGAGGCAGUUUGUGCCAACACACACACACACACACACACACACACACACACACACACACACACUUUCUCCAUCUGUCUGCUCUUAUGUACAACUCCUUGAAACGAUCCAGCCAUCUGAGACUUUGAAGAAGAAAUCAUGUUUGAAUAAGGUUCAGAGAAUUUUAACAAUUACUUGAAGCAUUCCUGAUUAAUUCACGCACUCGUCCUGUAAAGUUCAGAGUACAAUCCUGUGCAACUAACAUGACCAGAAGAUUUCAAUGAGAAGCUCCAGACCGAACACUCGCAGACAACUGCUGAAGUUCACUCGAUGAAUAACGCUGUUUAGGAGUUUCAUCAGAUUCAGAAAGUGGUUUAUCAACCCUAGACGACUCUCCUCACACACACUGUGAAUGUUAUUAUACACAGCUUCUCAUUAUAGUUAUGCAGUUACAGUGUUGGCGAGUAACUAAUUAAAUAUAAUGGAAACAAAAUAAAUGUAACUGUAAUCAGUUACAGUUACUGAGAAAAAUGCACAAAUGUUAAUAUAGAUAAACAAAAACUACACCAAGAAGACCAUCAAUAGGCACUCAUAUGAACUCUUCUUGAUUUAGACUCCAAAAAGAUACAAUUCCCGCACUAUAAGAACAAUCACUUGAUAAUGUUCUGUGUUUUGUCUGUCAUCAGUUGAUCUGGAGAUCAUGGCCCGUGUUAGGAGACAGCGCUGAAGCGAUCAUCAGCGUUACUGAGAAUCACUGGAGCUUCAGGACGAGACGCAGAUGUGUUUGCAGAAGCGCUGAGACUGUGUCUAAGAGCCAGACGGGAAAACUCUCGACUGACCCAUCACUCUCCAAAGCCUCCUCAAGUCAUCUUCAGCGAGUCUCAUAUAGAUCAGCAGAACUUCAUCGGUUCACCUGAGAGACACGCUGGAAUCAUUUCACAGAGCCAAACAUCCCUUCUGUCUUCUCUUCUUCAUACUAGAUCCAGAACUCUAUACAGACUUACUUGAAGGGCACCUAUUACACAAAAUUCACUUUUACAUGUUGUUUGAACAUAAAUGUGUGUUGGCUGUGUGUGAACACAACCACCUUAUAAUGAUAAAAAUCCUUGUUUUUUUAAUCCCCAUAAAUUAUAAGCAGUAUCUCAGAGCAAACCAAUCACAGAAUCCAUAAAAUGUGACAAGCCCAUAGAAUGUUUAACAAGCCCUGCCCACGACGUUGAUGGACACUGCUGUAUUAUCAGAGACCCUGCCCUAAGUAAGAAAUGUCUUCUUAUUAAAGCUAUAGAUAUUAUUCAGUCCGGAGGAGUGAGUGAUUUUCUGCUUUUAUUGUUUGGCUCAUAUGAAUAGCAUAUACAGCAGUACAGCUACUGUAUGCAAGCAGCAACCUCCCGCUCUCUCUCGUGAAACCAACAAGGAAGUGACUAAAACUGUAAUUCAUCGACUGGCCGCUUGAGGCUGGCUGCAAAAGGGAGUCAAUCCCAUAGACUACCCAUGUUAUAAUGCCCAACUUUACAGCAGCUUGAAGUUGACUCGAGUGCAUAU
RNAcentral lists this long non-coding RNA (1535 nucleotides) under Carassius auratus (goldfish). RNAcentral's name for it is "lncRNA (ENSCARG00000021003.1)". The record is from RNAcentral. Lineage: Eukaryota; Metazoa; Chordata; Actinopteri; Cypriniformes; Cyprinidae.